AGAUUGAACGCUGGCGGCAUGCCUUACACAUGCAAGUCGAGCGGAAAGGCCCUUCGGGGUACUCGAGCGGCGAACGGGUGAGUAACACGUGAGCAACCUGCCCUUAGCUUCGGGAUAGCUCCGGGAAACCGGAAUUAAUACCGAAUAUGACUUUGGCUGACAUCAGCAGAAGUGGAAAGUUUUUCGGCUAGGGAUGGACUCGCGGCCUAUCAGCUAGUUGGUGAGGUAACGGCCCACCAAGGCGACGACGGGUAGCC
This 257-nucleotide ribosomal RNA is filed under the name uncultured bacterium. RNAcentral describes it as "partial small subunit ribosomal RNA". It matches the Rfam family "Bacterial small subunit ribosomal RNA", at positions 26 to 288 of the family's 1533-position model. The record is from RNAcentral.